GGGGAUGUAGCUCAGUUGGCUAGAGCCCUUGACUGGCAGUCAAGAGGUCGUGGGUUCGAGCCCCAUCUUCUCCA
RNAcentral lists this transfer RNA (74 nucleotides) under Polaribacter sp. Its description in RNAcentral is "tRNA-Ala". It matches the Rfam family "tRNA". From Rfam's summary of the family: Transfer RNA (tRNA) molecules are approximately 80 nucleotides in length. Their secondary structure includes four short double-helical elements and three loops (D, anti-codon, and T loops). The record is from RNAcentral. Lineage: Bacteria; Pseudomonadati; Bacteroidota; Flavobacteriia; Flavobacteriales; Flavobacteriaceae.